UAGGGAAUCUUCGGCAAUGGACGAAAGUCUGACCGAGCAACGCCGCGUGAGUGAAGAAGGUUUUCGGAUCGUAAAACUCUGUUGUUAGAGAAGAACAAGGGUGAGAGUAACUGUUCACCCCUUGACGGUAUCUAACCAGAAAGCCACGGCUAACUACGUCCAG
This 163-nucleotide ribosomal RNA is filed under the name uncultured bacterium. Its description in RNAcentral is "partial 16S ribosomal RNA". It matches the Rfam family "Bacterial small subunit ribosomal RNA", at positions 355 to 511 of the family's 1533-position model. The record is from RNAcentral.